CCAAAUUAGUGUCUUUACCAAGGUGAUUCUCCUUAGGUAUAUAUUUUUCCUCAUUUCUGACUAGAAUGUGUAAAGGGAAGAGGUACUUGGUUCACAAUUUGGUGUGCACAUAUGUUACUGGUGGAAUUACUGUUCACACAUAUUGGGCAAUGUGUAUUUCUGAUGCUGGAAUUUUAACACAUUUUGUAGAUUUACUUGUGUAAAAUUGAAACUCUUUGACUCUGUUCUUCAGUGUGCUAUGGGAAAUGUAAUAUUCAAACAUCUCUCUGAAAUUAUAAUUUUGAUGGAAAGUUGAAGAUCUUCCUAAGAUAGCCAAAGGCUGUGAAGACCCAGGAGUUCCCACGAAAGAGAAGAGGAUGCGUCCACAAUUGCCCAGGGCUGGAUAUGCUAUCGGUCUUUCCAACCCAUGGAUGCAUAAGACUUCAAGUAAACAACAGGCAGAGUUGGAGCUAAAGAAUUCUUACAUAAUUAUCUUCUCAUUGGAAGAAACCAUUCAUACAUAAAGUAUUCCUAUUUCCUUAGUAGUUUAUUAUUCCUUAGUAUGAAUUAUAUGAUUUUCGAUUAUGUAAAUUGUUCUACAAGAGGAGAUAUGUUUUAAACACAGUAAGCUAUGAAUACCUAAAUUGUUAUAGCCUUUCACCAUAAUAAAACAAUUAAAAUUUAAAUUAAAGCACAAUGAAA
Molecule: long non-coding RNA, 681 nt
Organism: Peromyscus eremicus (cactus mouse)
Lineage: Eukaryota; Metazoa; Chordata; Mammalia; Rodentia; Cricetidae
Exons: 3
Source: RefSeq, a predicted model, not a curated record